This 519-nucleotide ribosomal RNA is filed under the name uncultured bacterium. Its description in RNAcentral is "bacterial SSU rRNA". It matches the Rfam family "Bacterial small subunit ribosomal RNA", at positions 29 to 526 of the family's 1533-position model. The record is from RNAcentral.
AGCGAACGCUGGCGGCGUGCCUAACACAUGCAAGUCGAACGUGAAAGGGAGCAAUCCUGAGUAAAGUGGCGUACGGGUGAGUAACGCGUAGGUAAUCUACCCCAGAGUCUGGAAUAACCUGCCGAAAGGCGGGCUAAUACUGGAUAGAGCGAUGGAAUCCGUAAUUGGGUUUUUCGGGAAAGGGAGCUCGCAAGAGCCUUCGUUUUGGGAUGAGCCUGCGUCUCAUUAGCUAGUUGGUGGGGUAAAGGCCCACCAAGGCAAUGAUGGGUAGCUGGUCUGAGAGGAUGAUCAGCCACACUGGAACUGAAACACGGUCCAGACUCCUACGGGAGGCAGCAGUGGGGAAUCUUGCGCAAUGGACGAAAGUCUGACGCAGCCACGCCGCGUGAGUGAAGAAGGCCUUCGGGUUGUAAAGCUCUGUCGCCCGGGACGAAAAUCUUAUGAGUGAAUAGCUCAUAGGACUGACGGUACCGGGAGAGGAAGCACCGGCUAACUCCGUGCCAGCAGCCGCGGUAACAC